GUCGAGCGACGAAACCGGUCUUCGUAAGAAGACUGGCUGAAAGCGGCGAACGGGUGAGUAACACGUGGGUAACGUGCCCUUGACUCCGGGACAACAACGGGAAACCGUUGCUAAUACCGGAUAACCCUGUAGCACCGCAUGGUGUAACAGGCAAAGUUUUUCGGUCAAGGAUCGGCCCGCGGCCUAUCGGCUUGUUGGUGGGGUAACGGCCUACCAAGGCAUUGACGGGUAGCUGGCGUGAGAGCGCGGUCAGCCACACUGGGACUGAGACACGGCCCAGACUCCUACGGGAGGCAGCAGUAGGGAAUCUUGCGCAAUGGGCGAAAGCCUGACGCAGCGACGCCGCGUGAGGGAUGAAUGCCUUCGGGUUGUAAACCUCUUUCAGCAGGGACGAAGCCUCACGGUGACGGUACCUGCAGAAGAAGCCCCGGCUAACUACGUGCCAGCAGCCGCGGUAAUACGUAGGGGGCUAGCGUUAUCCGGAUUUAUUGGGCGUAAAGAGCUCGUAGGCGGCCGAUCGCGUCGGAUGUGAAAGCUCGGGGCUCAACCCUGAGAGGCCAUUCGAUACGGAUCGGCUAGAGGUAGGUAGGGGAAAGUGGAAUUCCUGAUGUAGCGGUGAAAUGCGCAGAUAUCAGGAGGAACACCGGGUGGCGAAAGCGGCUUUCUGGGCCUUACCUGACGCUGAGAGCGAAAGCUGGGGGAGCAAACAGGAUUAGAUACCCUGUAGUCCCAGCCGUAAACGUUGGGUGCUAGUGUUGGGGAGGU
This 765-nucleotide ribosomal RNA is filed under the name uncultured bacterium. RNAcentral describes it as "bacterial SSU rRNA". It matches the Rfam family "Bacterial small subunit ribosomal RNA", at positions 61 to 831 of the family's 1533-position model. The record is from RNAcentral.